GAUGAAGAACGUAGCGAAAUGCGAUAAGUAAUGUGAAUUGCAGAAUUCAGUGAAUCAUCGAAUCUUUGAACGCACAUUGCGCCCAUUAGUAUUCUAGUGGGCAUGCCUGUUCGAGCGUCAUUAAGUCCACUUAAGCCCUGCUUAGUGUUGGGAGACUGCUCCAGCGGUGCUACCCUGUAGCUACCCUGCAGCUCCUCAAAGACAGCGGCGGAGUUGUGGUAUCCUCUGAGCUUAGUAACUUGUUCUAGCUUUCGAGUGCACCACUUCCCCUGCCGUAAAACCCUUAAUUUUUAAUGGUUGACCUCGGAUCAGGUAGGAAUACCCGCUGAACUUAAGCAUAUCAAUAAGCGGAGGA
This 355-nucleotide unclassified non-coding RNA is filed under the name soil metagenome. RNAcentral's name for it is "partial contains 5.8S ribosomal RNA, internal transcribed spacer 2, and large subunit ribosomal RNA". The stretch from base 1 to 120 matches the Rfam family "5.8S ribosomal RNA", at positions 35 to 154 of the family's 154-position model. The record is from RNAcentral.